AAGGCUUUAGCUUAAAUAAAGCGUCUGGGUUGCAUUCAGAAGAUGUUAGGUAUAGUCUUGCAGGCCUUA
This 69-nucleotide transfer RNA is filed under the name Ichthyophis glutinosus (Ceylon caecilian). Its description in RNAcentral is "tRNA-Ala". It matches the Rfam family "tRNA". From Rfam's summary of the family: Transfer RNA (tRNA) molecules are approximately 80 nucleotides in length. Lineage: Eukaryota; Metazoa; Chordata; Amphibia; Gymnophiona; Ichthyophiidae. The record is from RNAcentral.